This 4042-nucleotide long non-coding RNA is filed under the name Mus musculus (house mouse). Its description in RNAcentral is "long non-coding RNA chr2:121986289-121990331". Lineage: Eukaryota; Metazoa; Chordata; Mammalia; Rodentia; Muridae. The record is from RNAcentral.
ACACAGAGAAACCCUGUCUCGGAAAAAAAAGAAAGUCCCCACAGACUUGCCUGUGGGCCAGUCUGAUAGUCAUUUUCUUGAUUGAGGUUCCCUCUUCUAAAAGGACUUUAGGUCUUGUUAAUAAAAAACUAACAAGUACACUAUUUGGGUUUUUUUGUUUUGUUUUGUUUUUUGUUUUAUUGCUGAACAUUAUCUUCAAAUAAUAAUAGAUUUCCUCUCAGUUCAUAGACAGACAUCUUAAUUCUACUUUUUUUUUUUUUUUUAAAGAUUUAUUUAUUUAUUAUAUGUAAGUACAUUGUAGCUGUCUUCAGACACUCCAGAAGAGGGAGUCAGAUCUCUUUACGGAUGGUUGUGAGCCACCAUGUGGUUGCUGGGAUUUGAACUCUGGACCUUCGGAAGAGCAGUCGGGUGCUCUAACCCACUGAGCCAUCUCACCAGCCCAUCUUAAUUCUACUUAGCCAUGUAGUUUGGCAUGUUGAUAGCAGUAAUUUUCUUUGGAUGUAGAGUUGUUUAUUUUCUUAAAUUUGCUUUUAAGUGAUCUUUAUGAAUUAUUUAUGUGGUUAAUCUAAAAUACAGGAAGCUCCUUGUAGGAAUAAUAAAAAUGUGUUUUUUGUGACAGAUGAGUGAAAGUAAUCUUUUCUUUUCUUCUUACUAAAUAGCACCAGUAACUCCAGAGAGUGGGUACUCGUCAGCCCAUGCAGAGGCCACCUAUGAAGAAGACUGGGAAGUAUUUGACCCGUGAGUUGUUUCCUGGUUAUCAAAUUUUCUUUCUUGAACAAUUUUUAGUUUCAUGAUAAAACUGGAAAUGUUAUUUGUUUAGUAGAAAAUCUUACUUUGGAUAUUGAGUUUCAACUUUUUCUCAAGUCAGCAGCACAUAACAAGAUACUCUCUCAUGAUGUUGGACAUUGAACUCCACCUCUCAUUCAUCUGGCACUCCUAAGGCCUAACCAGUACUCUGCAUUGUUUAACUUGGGCUUUAUAGUUUCUUAAUACUAUGUUUGCUAGCCUAGGUAUAUUAGAUGCAUUUUUAAUAGGAUAUUUCAACAUAAAAGCGAUAAUCUCAUGAAUAGAGGCAUCUGUUUUACAAAGAGCUUGUGAUCUUGAGCUGUGGGUAUCAGUACUUGGUGAGUUUUUGUAGACACUAAUCUGUGUACUUUCUUACAUGUUUUCUAAAUUAGUUUACUGGGUUAAGUGUUGAAUUAUUCAUGGCUUCAUUGCUGUGACCAAAUACCUUAGGGAGGGUAACUCAGUAUGUUAUAAGCAGUCAGUUAAGAAUAGAAAUAAAUCAGAAAGGUGAAAAGACUUCGUAAGUGGGUGCCUUGUGAGCUAAUGGCAAAGAAAAACAAUAUGUCAUUUUGGACUUCCUUAUUCUAAGCAUCAAGGAACUUAAUUGUGACAUGCAAAGAAAUAUAAAUACCAACCACGGUGUAGAGGAUCAAUCCGUGAUCUUGAGAAGACGCUCCAGAGAAUGUUUUACUCUUCUUAGAGCCAAACAUGCACUGAAAAAAAAGUCACGUGGUUGGUGUUUGGUGGUCUGCUGCCAGGAUGAUCCACACAGAUGUCUGUCUAGAGCAACGCAUUAUGUCUGUCUGUGUUCUGCAGUCUAGGAGAUGGGUUGAAACAGUAUAGUACUUCAAAUGGGGGCUUUUUUUCAGACCCAUGCAGAGGCCACUUUUUUUUUUUUUUUUUUAAAGAUUAACUAUAUAAAAGUAUGUAGCUGUCUUCAGACACUCCAGAAGAGGGAGUCAAAUCUUGUUAUGGGUGGUUGUGAGCCACCAUGUGGUUGCUGGGAUUUGAACUCAGGACCUCUGGAAGAGCAGUCAGUGCUCUUAACCGGUGAGCCAUCUCUCCAGCCCAGGGAAAACUUUUAUACUACCAUCAGCAUGCAAAAAAGGCUGUCUAAGAAUUUGCUGAGUCCUGAGCAGUGGUUUUCAACCUUCCUAAUGAUGUGACCCUUAAUACAGUUCCUCAAGGUGUAGUGACCCCAACUAUAAAUUUAUCUUCAUUUUACUACUUCAUAACUGUAAUUUUGCAAUCAUAACGAUUCCUGUUAUGAAUCGUAAUGUAAAUAUCUGACAUGUAGAAUAUCUGAUUUGUAACCCCUGUGAUUUUACUCUUAAAGGGUUAUGACCCACAGGUUGAGAACAGCUACACUACAGGAAUAAACAAACUUUACUUCUUGUAGGUUAAAAUGUGUCAGUUCUUCCUACUGGGGAGAUGUAUGUGUUUGAGUCUAGUUAUGGCUUAAAAUUCAGUCUGGCAUAGCAGUUCCUUUUGUGCCAAUGUAAUAAAUCUAGUGGGAUAGACAAUGAAAACUAGCCACCUCGAGUCUGCUUUUAUUUUAUUUUGUACUUGGAAGAUUGAACCCAAGGCCUUGUACAUUCUAGGAAAGUGCUUUAUAGCUAAUCAUAUGACAAGCUAAUUAAAAUUUAGAAUUUAAUACUAUCUUCUAUGUAUAAAACAUAGAAAUGUUGAAAUUUUCUUAAAAUUUGAUUUAUAGCUAUUAUUUCAUCAAACAUGUUCCGCCUCUGACAGAAGAACAGCUAAAUAGGAAACCUGCUCUUCCUUUGAAAACAAGAAGCACACCAGAGUUCUCCCUGGUCUUAGAUCUGGUGAGUGUGAUCUUUACAGGUAUAAAGAAUAAGAGCUAAAAUCCAGAAUACAAAUGAACAAGCAGUCAUAAUAUUUACUGUAAAUAUGUUCUGAGUAUUUUGAAUGGUUUUAUUUAGGCACCCUAGCAUUAGACCAGUUUGUUUGGGACCGGCACAUUUUGAAAAUAUGUAAGACUUUUACUUUUGCAUUUAAAUAAAAUUUUUUUUCUCUACAUUUUUGAGACCCUGUGAUUUGUUUUUGUUUAUUUGAUUUUGUUUUUGAGGUGUUGGGUAUUAUUCCAGGGUCUGGUUAUGCAAGACAAGUGUUAUUAUUACUACAUUAUAUCCUAAGCCUAAAGCAGUUGUAUUUAUUAUAUUUUGCCUGGAUAGAAACAGCUCCCUGGAACCGGCGUUACUGAGUAGUUGUAACUAAACCCAGAUCAUCUGUAAGAGCACCAAAUUUUCUUAGUCACUGAAUCUCUCCACUUAAUAUAUCUCCCUGUAAAUUGGAAUGCCUAGCAUUAAGAUUUCCUCUUAUUUUUAGAAUCUUGUUUUCCUGAAAUACAAUUUGACUUCAGUUAACUAGCCUGGGCUGGCCUCAAACUCUCCUUGUAGCUUAGGAUGAUUUUGAACUUCUGAACCUGCUACUUUGACCGAAGGUGGGCCAUGUGGCACUAUGCCUGUGUCUGGCGUUAGGGAGUAAACCUCGGGCUUUUACAUACUGAACCCUUGCCAGCUGAGCUUUAUCCCUGAUCACCAAGCAACUUUCAAAAUAGACUUGAUUUUUUUUUCUUUGAUGUGAUUUAAAAAUUUUUGCAUACCUGGAAUGGGGCUUUAUAUGCUUUUAGCCUGAAUUGUGGAAGAGGCCGAGACACACACAGUAGCUUGUGAGGGUUUGGGCCCAGGCUAGGCAAUUUAGAAAGACUUUUGUCUGAAAAAACUUACAUUUAUACUAUUGGGUAGAAAAGAACUUUGAAUUAAAUAUUUUAUGUUUUGCUAACCCAUUUUAUUAUUUGUGUGAAUACCACAUUUACUGUUUGCUUUUAGUUUUCCAAUAUCAUCAAAAGAUAUAUCUAAUGAAUUGUGCUGGAAAACAUUUUAUUGUUUAACACUUAUCACUGAUAUCUCAUUAAUAGAAAUGUGAUUUAAUUCUCAAAAAUAUCUUAAAGAAAAGCCAGUUCUUUAACUUUUUAUUGUUUGUUUGUUUGUUUCUUUGGUUGGUUGGGUUUUUGAGACUGAGUUUCUCUGUGUGUCCCUGGCUGUCCUGGAACUCUCUGUGUAAACCAGGCUGGCCUCCCAAGUGCUGAGAUAAAAGGCAUAUGUCACCACUCCCCUGCACAUUUUUUAAUUAGUGCACAAUAUUUAUGUUUUUAUACUUCAUAAUCAUAGCCUUUACAAUUCAGAGAUGUAAAAGAAAUAACAAAUUCUAAAAUAUUUUUAGAGAAUAUAUG